CAGCAGCCACGGUAAUACGGAGGGAGCUAGCGUUGUUCGGAAUUACUGGGCGUAAAGCGCGCGUAGGCGGCUUCUUAAGUCGGAUGUGAAAUCCCUGAGCUUAACUUAGGAAUUGCAUUCGAUACUGGGAAGCUAGAGUAUGGGAGAGGAUGGUAGAAUUCCAGGUGGAGCGGUGAAAUGCGUUGAGAUCGGAAAGAACACCAACGGCGAAAGCACUCUGCUGGGCCGACACUGACACUGAGAGACGAAAGCUAGGGGAGCAAAUGGGAUUAGAUACCCCGGUAGUCCCUGUCUCUUAUAC
Molecule: ribosomal RNA, 301 nt
Filed under: uncultured bacterium
Lineage: Bacteria
Description: partial 16S ribosomal RNA
Rfam family: Bacterial small subunit ribosomal RNA
Source: RNAcentral